UUAAAUUUUCGGUUUUUGGUUAUUUAUUUAACUAAAUAAUGUAUUUGUAAUAUUUGAUGUAUUAUAUUUACCAAGUAAAUAAUUUUUUUGGCAUCUUAAACCAUCUAUUUACGAUGAAUAUUCGAUAUCAUAUAAAAAAUUGAACAAAUAGACGUAAUGUCGUAAUUGGAGAAUUGUAGACAAUAUAUAAAACAAUGGUUAUUAAUGUAAAAUAUGAAGAAAUAUUAUAUUAUGACUUAGUAUGACAUAAAAUAUUAUAAAUUAGUUAUACAUGUUUACAAAAAAUAAAAUGAUUUUUAAACUUCUAUGAAAAAUUUAACAUAUAAAAAAGGGCGAUGAAUUAGUCAUCAAAUUGUAAAUAAUUU
Molecule: long non-coding RNA, 365 nt
Filed under: Brassica napus (rape)
Lineage: Eukaryota; Viridiplantae; Streptophyta; Magnoliopsida; Brassicales; Brassicaceae
Description: long non-coding RNA (BNAP_LNC005402)
Source: RNAcentral